UCUGGUUGAUCCUGCCGGAGGUCAUUGCUAUCGGAGUCCGAUUUAGCCAUGCUAGUCGCACGGGUUCAGCCCCGUGGCGAAUAGCUCCGUAACACGUGGCCAAUCUACCCUACGGACCGGUAUAACCUCGGGAAACUGAGGCUAAUCCCGGAUACUGCUCCCACGCUGGAAUGCCGGGAGCUGGAAACGUUCCGACGCCGUAGGAUGAGGCUGCGGCCGAUUAGGUAGACGGUGGGGUAACGGCCCACCGUGCCAUUAAUCGGUACGGGUUGUGAGAGCAAGAACCCGGAGACGGAAUCUGAGACAAGAUUCCGGGCCCUACGGGGCGCAGCAGGCGCGAAACCUUUACACUGCACGACAGUGCGAUAGGGGGACUCCGAGUGCGGAGGCAUAGUGCCUUCGCUUUUCUGUACCCUAAGGCGGUACAGGAAUAAGAGCUGGGCAAGACCGGUGCCAGCCGCCGCGGUAAUACCGGCAGCUCGAGUGAUGACCGAUCUUAUUGGGCCUAAAGCGUUCGUAGCCGGCCGGGCAAGUUCGUCGGGAAAUCUACCAGCUCAACUGGUAGGCGUCCGGCGAAAACUGCUCGGCUUGGGACAGGGAGACUCAAGGGGUACGUCCGGGGUAGGAGUGAAAUCCCGUAAUCCUGGACGGACCACCGAUGGCGAAAGCACCUUGAGAGAACUGAUCCGACGGUCAGGAACGAAAGCUGGGGUCUCGAACCGGAUUAGAUAUCCGGGNUAGUCCCAGCUGUAAACGAUGUUCGCUAGGUGCGACGCAGACUACGAGUCUGUGUUGUGCCGUAGGGAAGCCGAGAAGCGAACCGCCUGGGAAGUACGUCCGCAAGGAUGAAACUUAAAGGAAUU
Molecule: ribosomal RNA, 863 nt
Filed under: uncultured archaeon
Lineage: Archaea
Description: bacterial SSU rRNA
Rfam family: Archaeal small subunit ribosomal RNA
Source: RNAcentral